AUUUGAUUACAAAUCAUUUUAUUAUUCUUUGAGAAUUACUGGCUAACUAACCAACUAGCUAAAUAAACCCUUGCUUGGGAUGAAAGGAUUCUGUAACUCAUUAGCAGAAGAAAAAUAAACAAAAAACAACAACAACAACAAUAACAACACACACACGAGUAUUUCAAAGAUGUGACGAUACGCUUUCAUGACGCCACUGCUUAGUCUAUGACGUCAUUUCAAUGAAUUGUUCUUUUUUUUUUUUUUUUUUUACAA
Biomphalaria pfeifferi is the source of this 255-nucleotide non-coding RNA. The record is from the annotation of a GenBank genome assembly. Lineage: Eukaryota; Metazoa; Mollusca; Gastropoda; Planorbidae.